RNAcentral lists this transfer RNA (84 nucleotides) under Patescibacteria group bacterium. Its description in RNAcentral is "tRNA-Leu". It matches the Rfam family "tRNA". Rfam says of the family: Transfer RNA (tRNA) molecules are approximately 80 nucleotides in length. Their secondary structure includes four short double-helical elements and three loops (D, anti-codon, and T loops). Further hydrogen bonds mediate the characteristic L-shaped molecular structure. tRNAs have two regions of fundamental functional importance: the anti-codon, which is responsible for specific mRNA codon recognition, and the 3' end, to which the tRNAs corresponding amino acid is attached (by aminoacyl-tRNA synthetases). tRNAs cope with the degeneracy of the genetic code in two manners: having more than one tRNA (with a specific anti-codon) for a particular amino acid; and 'wobble' base-pairing, i.e. permitting non-standard base-pairing at the 3rd anti-codon position. The record is from RNAcentral.
GCCGGAGUGGCGGAAUGGUAGACGCGCACGACUCAAAAUCGUGUAUCGAGAGGUGUGAGGGUUCAAGUCCCUCCUCCGGCACCA